GGUCUUGUAUUCAUUAAAUGAUUAUAGAAUGCAAUUCUGUAGGAAUAGUUAAAACUAUCAAGGCUU
This 66-nucleotide transfer RNA is filed under the name Beybienkoa kurandanensis. RNAcentral's name for it is "tRNA-Cys". The record is from RNAcentral. Lineage: Eukaryota; Metazoa; Arthropoda; Insecta; Blattodea; Blattellidae.